RNAcentral lists this ribosomal RNA (830 nucleotides) under uncultured archaeon. Its description in RNAcentral is "bacterial SSU rRNA". It matches the Rfam family "Archaeal small subunit ribosomal RNA", at positions 21 to 859 of the family's 1478-position model. The record is from RNAcentral.
AGGCCACUGCUAUCGGAGUUCGAUUAAGCCAUGCGAGUCGAGAGGUGUAAGACCUCGGCAUACUGCUCAGUAACACGUGGACAACCUACCCUGAAGAGGGGGAUAACCCCGGGAAACUGGGGAUAAUACCCCAUAGAUUAUGGAUGCUGGAAUGCUCUGUAGUUAAAAGGUCCGCCGCUUCAGGAUGGGUCUGCGGCCGACUAGGUUGUUGUUGGGGUAACGGCCCAACAAGCCUGUAAUCGGUACGGGUUGUGGGAGCAAGAGCCCGGAGAUGGAUUCUGAGACACGAAUCCAGGCCCUACGGGGCGCAGCAGGCGCGAAAACUUUACAAUGCGAGAAAUCGUGAUAAGGGAGCUCCGAGUGCCCGUAAAAUCGGGCUGUCCGCCAGUGUAAAUAACUGGUGAAGAAAGGGCCGGGCAAGACCGGUGCCAGCCGCCGCGGUAAUACCGGCGGCUCGAGUGGUGGCCACUAUUACUGGGCUUAAAGCGUUCGUAGCUGGUCUGUUAAGUCUCUGGGGAAAUCUUCCGGCUUAACCGGAAGGCGUCUCAGGGAUACUGGCAGACUAGGGACCGGAAGAGGUGAGAGGUACUCCAGGGGUAGGAGUGAAAUCCUGUAAUCCUUGGGGGACCACCUGUGGCGAAGGCGUCUCACCAGGACGGCUCCGACAGUGAGGAACGAAAGCUGGGGGAGCAAACCGGAUUAGAUACCCGGGUAGUCCCAGCUGUAAACGAUGCACGUUAGGUGUAUCGGUGACCACGAGUCACCGAGGUGCCGAAGAGAAAUCGUGAAACGUGCCGCCUGGGAAGUACGGUCGCAAGGCUGAAACUUAA